GAUGAAGAACGCAGCGAAACGCGAUAAGUAAUGUGAAUUGCAGAAUUCAGUGAAUCAUCGAAUCUUUGAACGCACAUUGCGCCCGCCAGCAUUCUGGCGGGCAUGCCUGUUCGAGCGUCAUUUCAACCCUCAAGCUCUGCUUGGUGUUGGGGCCCUACGUCUGACGUAGGCCCUCAAAGACAGUGGCGGACCCUCUCGGAGCCUCCUUUGCGUAGUAACUAACGUCUCGCACUGGGAUUCGGAGGGACUCUUGCCGUAAAACCCCCAAUUUUUACAGGUUGACCUCGGAUCAGGUAGGAAUACCCGCUGAACUUAAGCAUAUCAAUAAGCGGAGGA
RNAcentral lists this unclassified non-coding RNA (336 nucleotides) under soil metagenome. Its description in RNAcentral is "partial contains 5.8S ribosomal RNA, internal transcribed spacer 2, and large subunit ribosomal RNA". The stretch from base 1 to 120 matches the Rfam family "5.8S ribosomal RNA", at positions 35 to 154 of the family's 154-position model. The record is from RNAcentral.